AAUAGGUGACGCCGUUGACUUUUUCUCACAUGUUUAACCGUUCGUCUUAUUAAAAAAAUAUGUAAUUAUAAUUUAUUUUAUUAUGAGUUGUUUUAUAAUUUAUAGUAUUUUAAGUGUGAUUUGUAUCUUAUACAUUUGCAUAAAAUUUUUGAAUAAGACGAAUGGUCAAAUAUGUGAGAAAAAAUUAACGGCGUCAUCUAUU
RNAcentral lists this microRNA precursor (202 nucleotides) under Oryza sativa Indica Group (long-grained rice). RNAcentral's name for it is "MIR812 microRNA precursor family". It matches the Rfam family "MIR812 microRNA precursor family". Lineage: Eukaryota; Viridiplantae; Streptophyta; Magnoliopsida; Poales; Poaceae. The record is from Rfam by way of RNAcentral.